CAACAACAAUAAAAUAAAUUUUGUGAAGUUUGAAAUUAGUGAAUUUAGAGUUGUAUGGAGUUUUUUUAAAAAUUAAUUAUUAUUCUUCAAGAAUGAUAAAGUAGAGCAAUAACAACAUAAAAGGAAAGAAGGUAGUGGUACAAAUAGAAGUGCAGUGUGAUGGAAAUAUGUAAUUGAUGUAAAAAGAAGCAUUGUAAAAGCUGAACAUGAUAGAGGCAGAAGCAUAAACAAGAAGAACUAGCAAAACUUAUAAGAGUGUGUCGUGCAAAGAAAGGGAAACGACAAUAAGAAGAGAGAUUGGCAAUGAUGGUAGCAGCAUUGAGGAGGCAUACUAUGCAUUUAGAAGUUGAUGUAGAGGAUCCCCGAGUUGAUUGCCAGAGUGUAAGAAGAAUGGAUCAGAUAUGUGAGCGAGAGGAAAAACCAGA
RNAcentral lists this long non-coding RNA (425 nucleotides) under Physcomitrium patens. RNAcentral's name for it is "long non-coding RNA (PPAT_LNC010134)". The record is from RNAcentral. Lineage: Eukaryota; Viridiplantae; Streptophyta; Bryopsida; Funariales; Funariaceae.